RNAcentral lists this ribosomal RNA (408 nucleotides) under uncultured Peyronellaea. RNAcentral describes it as "eukaryotic LSU rRNA". The stretch from base 112 to 265 matches the Rfam family "5.8S ribosomal RNA". The record is from RNAcentral. Lineage: Eukaryota; Fungi; Ascomycota; Dothideomycetes; Pleosporales; Didymellaceae.
UCUUACCCAUGUCUUUUGAGUACCUUCGUUUCCUCGGCGGGUCCGCCCGCCGAUUGGACAAUUUAAACCAUUUGCAGUUGCAAUCAGCGUCUGAAAAAACUUAAUAGUUACAACUUUCAACAACGGAUCUCUUGGUUCUGGCAUCGAUGAAGAACGCAGCGAAAUGCGAUAAGUAGUGUGAAUUGCAGAAUUCAGUGAAUCAUCGAAUCUUUGAACGCACAUUGCGCCCCUUGGUAUUCCAUGGGGCAUGCCUGUUCGAGCGUCAUUUGUACCUUCAAGCUCUGCUUGGUGUUGGGUGUUUGUCUCGCCUCUGCGCGCAGACUCGCCUCAAAACAAUUGGCAGCCGGCGUAUUGAUUUCGGAGCGCAGUACAUCUCGCGCUUUGCACUCAUAACGACGACGUCCAAAA